CCGUGUGUGUGGGUUUCCUGUAAACUGUUAUUUUGAUGCUGCUGUCUUCUCUGUGGUGAAUGUUCAUGUCCAGGAAUGAAAUGGUCCGGUUUAUUUCCUCUUCGUGUGUGGAUUGUAUGUUUCCCGUGUCGUCCAUGUUGUUCAGAUGAUCAGUGAGUUCUUGUGUGUGUCCAGAUUUUAUUAUUUCCAGGAUGUCGUGGACGUAUCUUCUCCAGAGUGUGGGUCUGCAAAGCGGGGAUGGCUUUGGUUUCCAGGUCCUCCAUGAAAAAGUUACUCAUUAUGGCUGAAAGUGGAUCUUUUUUUCAACUUUAUUUUACCAGCAUUAAAACCUUGUCUGCAGAGAGAAAAGAACGACUCCGUUUUUUGCCAGACUGGAGGAUGUUGGAGGGAGUCUGUUAAUCUCUCUGGACCUGACAUUUGAAAACCUCCACCUCUCCUCACCCUCCCAGCCCACUGAUGUGAGGAAAUCCAGCUCUGAACAGACUGAACUCCUAAAUCCCUCCUGGAAGCUUCACCCUGAACAGACAACUGCAACGCCGUGGUAACGGGCAGAUUACAGCGUCAGACGUUCCUGCAGAAACCCUCAGAGCCCAGAGGGAUUCUUACCGAUGCUCAGGAGAUGGACGAGGAGAAGAAACGUUGUCCAUCCUCCAGACGGAUCUGAAGACCCGACCGGCCUCUGGGGCGGCGUUUGGUGAAGUUAUCUCUGGAGGCUGCUGGAGGAUAAAUGUGGAGAUCUGCAGAUAGAAGCCAAGAAGAUGAACGGAGCUGGAGAGGAAGAAGCUCUACAGUGGUGUUCAAAAUAAUAGCAGUCCUACAUCACUUUAUCAGGAGCGUCAGUGUUGAUUUAACUUAUUUCUGUAAGUUAUACCUUGAAAAAAGAAACGGGGUGCUGGGGGGAGGAGGGGAGCAGGGCCAUGCAGAGACCUUUGGAGGGGCAGGUGCUCAAAGUUAAAAGGGGGCACAUGGAGCAAGAAUUUGAAACAUCAUACAGAAACAUACCUCAUAAUACAAGGUGCAGCAGUGGCUAAGUCUCAGGACUGCUGAUCAGAAGGUCAUUGGUUCAAACUCUGACCUGUGAUGUAGUGUAUUUGAGAAAAAUUAUUAUUUUGAAGCUGAAUUUACAUCAUCAUUAGACACUGGACUGUUUAACUGUGGCUACUCUUCCUGGAGUCCUUGCUUUUAAAUUUCAUACCUUUUCCAGACAUGUACUGUAGAGCCACGGAUUUGCUCCAUGGUGCUGAUUCAUAAUCUGCCCUUCAUUAUUCGUAGUGCUAAUAAUAAGUUUAAAAACAAUUAAAUGAUAUAGAAAUCAUGUA
Long non-coding RNA from Amphiprion ocellaris (clown anemonefish), 1319 nucleotides. RefSeq lists it as uncharacterized. The record is from RefSeq and is a predicted model, not a curated record. The transcript is spliced from 3 exons. NCBI's taxonomy places the organism in Eukaryota, Metazoa, Chordata, Actinopteri, Pomacentridae.